AGAUUGAACGCUGGCGGCAUGCCUUACACAUGCAAGUCGAACGGCAGCACGGGGGCAACCCUGGUGGCGAGUGGCGAACGGGUGAGUAAUGCAUCGGAACGUGCCCAGUAGUGGGGGAUAACUAGUCGAAAGAUUAGCUAAUACCGCAUACGACCUAUGGGCGAAAGCGGGGGAUUCGCAAGAACCUCGCGCUAUCGGAGAGGCCGAUGUCUGAUUAGCUAGUUGGCGGGUAAAAGCCC
This 239-nucleotide ribosomal RNA is filed under the name uncultured soil bacterium. RNAcentral describes it as "partial 16S ribosomal RNA". It matches the Rfam family "Bacterial small subunit ribosomal RNA", at positions 26 to 266 of the family's 1533-position model. The record is from RNAcentral.